GACGAACGCUGGCGGCGUGCUUAACACAUGCAAGUCGAGCGGUAAGGGCCCUUUCGGGGGUACACGAGCGGCGAACGGGUGAGUAACACGUGGGUGACCUGCCCUCAGCUCUGGGAUAAGCCUGGGAAACCGGGUCUAAGUACUGGAUAUGACUCCAUGACGCAUGUUGUGGGGUGAAAGCCUUGUGCGGCUGAGGAUGGGCCCGCGGCCUAUCAGCUUGUUGGUGGGGUGANGGCCUACCAAGGCGACGACGGGUAGCCGGCCUGAGAGGGCGACCGGCCACACUGGGACUGAGACA
This 298-nucleotide ribosomal RNA is filed under the name uncultured bacterium. Its description in RNAcentral is "partial 16S ribosomal RNA". It matches the Rfam family "Bacterial small subunit ribosomal RNA", at positions 28 to 326 of the family's 1533-position model. The record is from RNAcentral.